Molecule: ribosomal RNA, 581 nt
Filed under: uncultured bacterium
Lineage: Bacteria
Description: bacterial SSU rRNA
Rfam family: Bacterial small subunit ribosomal RNA
Source: RNAcentral
UACUCCUACGGGAGGCAGCAGUGAGGAAUAUUGGUCAAUGGUCGGAAGACUGAACCAGCCAUGCCGCGUGCAGGAAGAAUGCCUUAUGGGUUGUAAACUGCUUUUAUAUGGGAAGAAUAAGGCGUACGUGUACGUUGAUGACGGUACCAUAUGAAUAAGCAUCGGCUAACUCCGUGCCAGCAGCCGCGGUAAUACGGAGGAUGCGAGCGUUAUUCGGAAUCAUUGGGUUUAAAGGGUCUGUAGGCGGGCUAUUAAGUCAGGGGUGAAAGGUUUCAGCUUAACUGAGAAAUUGCCUUUGAUACUGGUAGUCUUGAAUAUCUGUGAAGUUCUUGGAAUGUGUAGUGUAGCGGUGAAAUGCUUAGAUAUUACACAGAACACCGAUUGCGAAGGCAGGGGACUAACAGACAAUUGACGCUGAGAGACGAAAGCGUGGGGAGCGAACAGGAUUAGAUACCCUGGUAGUCCACGCUGUAAACGAUGGAUACUAGCUGUUUGGCGCAAGCUGAGUGGCUAAGCGAAAGUGAUAAGUAUCCCACCUGGGGAGUACGCACGCAAGUGUGAAACUCAAAGGAAUUGACGGA